This 438-nucleotide long non-coding RNA is filed under the name Homo sapiens (human). RNAcentral's name for it is "non-protein coding LINC01351:2". Lineage: Eukaryota; Metazoa; Chordata; Mammalia; Primates; Hominidae. The record is from RNAcentral.
GCGCAACAACAGCAGUCCUCCAAAGAGAAUGUUUGAAUUGAAUUAUAUGAAGCCCUCCUUUCUUCAAAUGAAGUCACGGACUCUGAUGGCACUGGCUUGUCAGGCAGGACGACCGGACUGGGAAAGAGACCAGGCUGUUGUCCAGCUCUAAUGAUGUCCUAGAGCAGAAGUGUUUCUUCUGAUGUCUCAUUUUAACAAGAGGAUGAUGUCUGUGUAUGUCUCUGUGUUUUAGAGAGGCUGGCAAAUGCUGCUAAGAGGAUCUGAGGUUCACAUAAAGAGGAUGAAAAUUCUGAAUUACUUUCAUUGCAAAUAAACCUUAACAAUUGUGAGAGUUAGAGAGCAUACUUUUCACAUAAGACUUUGGUAUGCUGCCUAAAGCUACUUACAUAAUUUGCUAUUCAGAGAAAUGCAUUUGUUUAUUGAGGACCCACCCGGACU